UGGGGAAUAUUGGGCAAUGGGCGAAAGCCUGACCCAGCAACGCCGCGUGAAGGAAGAAGGUUUUCGGAUUGUAAACUUCUGUCCUCAGGGAAGAAAAGAAUGACGGUACCUGGGGAGGAAGCCCCGGCUAACUACGUGCCAGCAGCCGCGGUAAUACGUAGGGGGCGAGCGUUGUCCGGAAUGACUGGGCGUAAAGGGCGCGUAGACGGCCGAUUAAGUCUGGAGUGAAAGUCCUGCUUUUAAGGUGGGAAUUGCUUUGGAGACUGGUUGGCUUGAGUGCGGAAGAGGUAAGUGGAAUUCCCAGUGUAGCGGUGAAAUGCGUAGAGAUUGGGAGGAACACCAGUGGCGAAGGCGACUUACUGGGCCGUAACUGACGUUGAAGCGCGAAAGCGUGGGGAGCGAACAGG
This 407-nucleotide ribosomal RNA is filed under the name uncultured bacterium. Its description in RNAcentral is "bacterial SSU rRNA". It matches the Rfam family "Bacterial small subunit ribosomal RNA", at positions 355 to 776 of the family's 1533-position model. The record is from RNAcentral.